This 230-nucleotide ribosomal RNA is filed under the name uncultured bacterium. RNAcentral's name for it is "partial 16S ribosomal RNA". It matches the Rfam family "Bacterial small subunit ribosomal RNA", at positions 118 to 347 of the family's 1533-position model. The record is from RNAcentral.
UGAGCAACCUGCCCUUGACUCCGGAAUAACAGCUGGAAACAGCUGCUAAUACCGGAUACGACCUCCGAUGGCAUCAUCUGGAGGUGGAAAGCUCCGACGGUCAAGGAUGGGCUCGCGGCCUAUCAGCUAGUUGGUGUGGGUAAUGGCCCACCAAGGCGACGACGGGUAGCCGGCCUGAGAGGGUGACCGGCCACACUGGGACUGAGACACGGCCCAGACUCCGUAGGGAG